GGGCCAGACUCCUACGGGAGGCAGCAGUGGGGGAUAUUGCACAAUGGGGGAAACCCUGAUGCAGCGACGCCGCGUGUGGGAAGACGGUCCUCUGGAUUGUAAACCACUGUCCCCAGGGACGAAGAUGACGGUACCUGACUAAGAAGCCCCGGCUAACUACGUGCCAGCAGCCGCGGUAAUACGUAGGGGGCAAGCGUUAUCCGGAUUUACUGGGUGUAAGGGGAGCGUAGACGGCAGUGCAAGUCUGAAGUGAAAGGCGGGGGCCCAACCCCCGGACUGCUUUGGAAACUGUGCUGCUGGAGUGCAGGAGAGGCAAGUGGAAUUCCUAGUGUAGCGGUGAAAUGCGUAGAUAUUAGGAGGAACACCAGUGGCGAAGGCGGCUUGCUGGACUGUAACUGACGUUGAGGCUCGAAAGCGUGGGGAGCACACAGGAUUAGAUACCCGAGUA
Molecule: ribosomal RNA, 448 nt
Filed under: uncultured bacterium
Lineage: Bacteria
Description: bacterial SSU rRNA
Rfam family: Bacterial small subunit ribosomal RNA
Source: RNAcentral